Molecule: ribosomal RNA, 448 nt
Filed under: uncultured bacterium
Lineage: Bacteria
Description: bacterial SSU rRNA
Rfam family: Bacterial small subunit ribosomal RNA
Source: RNAcentral
UUAAGAAGCACCGGCUAACUACGUGCCAGCAGCCGCGGUAAUACGUAGGGUGCGAGCGUUGUCCGGAAUUACUGGGCGUAAAGAGCUCGUAGGUGGUUUGUUGCGUCGUCUGUGAAAUUCCGGGGCUUAACUUCGGGGUGGCAGGCGAUACGGGCAUAACUAGAGUGCUGUAGGGGAGACUGGAAUUCCUGGUGUAGCGGUGGAAUGCGCAGAUAUCAGGAGGAACACCGAUGGCGAAGGCAGGUCUCUGGGCAGUAACUGACGCUGAGGAGCGAAAGCAUGGGGAGCGAACAGGAUUAGAUACCCUGGUAGUCCAUGCUGUAAACGGUGGGCGUUAGGUGUGGGGACCGGUUUGGUUUCUGUGCCGUAGCUAACGCAUUAAGCGCCCCGCCUGGGGAGUACGGCCGCAAGGCUAAAACUCAAAGGAAUUGACGGGGGCCCGCACAAG